UACGUAGGGUCCGAGCGUUGUCCGGAUUUAUUGGGCGUAAAGAGCUCGUAGGCGGCUUGUCGCGUCGAAUGUGAAAACUCGGGGCUCAACCCCGCGCUUGCAUUCGAUACGGGCAGGCUCGAGUUCGGUAGGGGAGACUGGAAUUCCUGGUGUAGCGGUGAAAUGCGCAGAUAUCAGGAGGAACACCGGUGGCGAAGGCGGGUCUCUGGGCCGAUACUGACGCUGAGGAGCGAAAGCGUGGGGAGCGAACAGG
RNAcentral lists this ribosomal RNA (253 nucleotides) under uncultured bacterium. Its description in RNAcentral is "partial 16S ribosomal RNA". It matches the Rfam family "Bacterial small subunit ribosomal RNA", at positions 524 to 776 of the family's 1533-position model. The record is from RNAcentral.